Non-coding RNA from Pelobates cultripes (western spadefoot toad), 216 nucleotides. The record is from the annotation of a GenBank genome assembly. NCBI's taxonomy places the organism in Eukaryota, Metazoa, Chordata, Amphibia, Anura, Pelobatidae.
CUUGCUGAUACGGAGCGUGCAUCUUCAAUUCAUCCCCCCAGUGGCCUGCACCCCAGUGGCACCACGUAAAACCACCGUGAUUUUCUCCCUCCUGACUCCGAGCUACCAGCUGCUUGCAGUGACGGCUGCAUCCAGAAUUAUCAGAGAGUUCGCUCAGAGCGACUGCUACAUCCAGGAUUAUCUCAGAGCUGCAAGCUGGCCUGCUCGGUCCACAAG